Small nuclear RNA from Aotus nancymaae (Ma's night monkey), 107 nucleotides. Lineage: Eukaryota; Metazoa; Chordata; Mammalia; Primates; Aotidae. The record is from Ensembl.
GGGCUCACUUCAGCAGCACAUAUACUAAAAUUGGAACAAUACAGAGAAUGCUAGCAUGGCCCCUGUGCAAGGAUGAUGUGCAAAUUUGUGAAACAGUCCAUAUUUUU